Molecule: small nuclear RNA, 157 nt
Organism: Callithrix jacchus (white-tufted-ear marmoset)
Lineage: Eukaryota; Metazoa; Chordata; Mammalia; Primates; Cebidae
Gene: U4
Rfam family: U4 spliceosomal RNA
About the family: U4 small nuclear RNA (U4 snRNA) is a component of the major U2-dependent spliceosome. The structure of U4 snRNA from yeast and human has been reported.
Source: Ensembl
AGCUUUGUGAAGUGGCAGUAUUGUAGCCAGUGAGGUUUAUCCAAGGCACGAUUAUUGCUGACUGAGAAGGUUAGCCUCAUAAGUCCCUCGAUAGUCAGAAAAUCCACUGGUCAUACAAAUGUGAGUAUUCUGGUUACUCAAUUAUUUCACAAAUGAA